GAUGAACGCUGGCGGCGUGCCUAAUACAUGCAAGUCGAGCGAACAGACGAGGAGCUUGCUCCUCUGACGUUAGCGGCGGACGGGUGAGUAACACGUGGAUAACCUACCUAUAAGACUGGGAUAAAUUCGGGAAACCGGAGCUAAUACCGGAUAAUAUGUUGAACCGCAUGGUUCAAUAGUGAAAGACGGUUUUGCUGUCACUUAUAGAUGGAUCCGCGCCGCAUUAGCUAGUUGGUAAGGUAACGGCUUACCAAGGCAACGAUGCGUAGCCGACCUGAGAGGGUGAUCGGCCACACUGGAACUGAGACACGGUCCAGACUCCUACGGGAGGCAGCAGUAGGGAAUCUUCCGCAAUGGGCGAAAGCCUGACGGAGCAACGCCGCGUGAGUGAUGAAGGUCUUCGGAUCGUAAAACUCUGUUAUUAGGGAAGAACAAAUGUGUAAGUAACUAUGCACGUCUUGACGGUACCUAAUCAGAAAGCCACGGCUAACUACGUG
RNAcentral lists this ribosomal RNA (497 nucleotides) under uncultured bacterium. RNAcentral describes it as "partial 16S ribosomal RNA". It matches the Rfam family "Bacterial small subunit ribosomal RNA", at positions 28 to 507 of the family's 1533-position model. The record is from RNAcentral.